Molecule: ribosomal RNA, 530 nt
Filed under: Pseudoophiobolus subhyalinisporus
Lineage: Eukaryota; Fungi; Ascomycota; Dothideomycetes; Pleosporales; Phaeosphaeriaceae
Description: SSU rRNA
Rfam family: Eukaryotic small subunit ribosomal RNA
Source: RNAcentral
CCAGCAGCCGCGGUAAUUCCAGCUCCAAUAGCGUAUAUUAAAGUUGUUGCAGUUAAAAAGCUCGUAGUUGAACCUUGGGUCUGGCUGGCAGGUCCGCCUCACCGCGUGUACUUGUCCGGCCGGGCCUUCCUUCUGGAGAACCUCAUGCCCUUCACUGGGCGUGUUGGGGACCAGGACUUUUACUUUGAAAAAAUUAGAGUGUUCAAAGCAGGCCUUUGCUCGAAUACGUUAGCAUGGAAUAAUAAAAUAGGACGUGCGGUCCUAUUUUGUUGGUUUCUAGGACCGCCGUAAUGAUUAAUAGGGACAGUCGGGGGCAUCAGUAUUCAAUUGUCAGAGGUGAAAUUCUUGGAUUUAUUGAAGACUAACUACUGCGAAAGCAUUUGCCAAGGAUGUUUUCAUUAAUCAGUGAACGAAAGUUAGGGGAUCGAAGACGAUCAGAUACCGUCGUAGUCUUAACCGUAAACUAUGCCGACUAGGGAUCGGGCGAUGUUCUUUUUCUGACUCGCUCGGCACCUUACGAGAAAUCAAAG